GACGGAGGGUGCAAGCGUUAUCCGGAUUUACUGGGCGUAAAGCGUCCGCAGGUGGCACUUCAAGUCUGCUGUUAAAUACUAGGGCUUAACCCUGGAGCGGCAGUGGAAACUGAAGAGCUAGAGUUCGGUAGGGGUAGAGGGAAUUCCCAGUGUAGCGGUGAAAUGCGUAGAGAUUGGGAAGAACACCGGUGGCGAAAGCGCUCUGCUAGGCCGAAACUGACACUCAUGGACGAAAGCUAGGGGAGCGAAUGGG
This 253-nucleotide ribosomal RNA is filed under the name uncultured bacterium. RNAcentral describes it as "partial 16S ribosomal RNA". It matches the Rfam family "Bacterial small subunit ribosomal RNA", at positions 524 to 776 of the family's 1533-position model. The record is from RNAcentral.